This 253-nucleotide ribosomal RNA is filed under the name uncultured bacterium. RNAcentral describes it as "partial 16S ribosomal RNA". It matches the Rfam family "Bacterial small subunit ribosomal RNA", at positions 524 to 776 of the family's 1533-position model. The record is from RNAcentral.
GACGUAGGGGGCCAGCGUUGUUCGGAAUUACUGGGUGUAAAGGGUUCGUAGGCGGUGUGGCAAGUCGGGAGUGAAAUCUCUGGGCUCAACCCAGAGUCUGCUUCCGAAACUGCUGUGCUUGAGUGUGGGAGAGGCGCGUGGAAUUGCAGGUGUAGCGGUGAAAUGCGUAGAUAUCUGCAGGAACACCCGUGGCGAAAGCGGCGCGCUGGACCACUACUGACGCUGAGGAACGAAGGUCAGGGGAGCAAACGGG